This 73-nucleotide transfer RNA is filed under the name Felis catus (domestic cat). It matches the Rfam family "tRNA". From Rfam's summary of the family: Transfer RNA (tRNA) molecules are approximately 80 nucleotides in length. The record is from Rfam by way of RNAcentral. Lineage: Eukaryota; Metazoa; Chordata; Mammalia; Carnivora; Felidae.
GCCUGGCUGGCUCAAUUGGAAGAGUGUGUGACUUUUGAUCUUGGGGUCGUGAGUUCAAGCCCCACGUUGGGUA